This 429-nucleotide long non-coding RNA is filed under the name Bos taurus (domestic cattle). Its description in RNAcentral is "long non-coding RNA NONBTAT012055". Lineage: Eukaryota; Metazoa; Chordata; Mammalia; Artiodactyla; Bovidae. The record is from RNAcentral.
GCCCAGCUUCACCUGCGGCCGAGCCCAUGGCAUCUCGCCUUGAAGUGGUCUAGAGGCGAAGCAGAGGAGCAAGCCCGUGUCUGAGGGGGCAGCCGGGCCCUCCCUCUAUCUGAGCGAAGGGGGCCUGAGAGCCAGGGCUCCGGGGCUGCAGUUUUGGUAAGAGGUCCUUAUGGGUGGGAAGCAGCCUCAGCUGGGGGCACCGCUCCCCUAGGGGGCGAGUACUCGCCUCCCCGCUCACUUUCUGCAAACCAGGAGCGCACGUGCGCAAGAUGUCCGGCCGCAGCGGGGGGACGUGGUUCAGGAUUGUGAUUCGGCAGCUCCCACGGCGAGGGUGCAGGGCCCGUUAGGGAGGGAAGAGCAGGGCACACGCACAUGGCUUAGUUUGCUCCUCGUGCCAACCAAUGGUUCCCUGUGCCCAGAACUACACCC